Molecule: long non-coding RNA, 316 nt
Filed under: Chinchilla lanigera (long-tailed chinchilla)
Lineage: Eukaryota; Metazoa; Chordata; Mammalia; Rodentia; Chinchillidae
Description: lncRNA (ENSCLAG00000028645.1)
Source: RNAcentral
CCUCAUCACUGCCAUCAGCAUCAGUGUCAUCAUUGCCAUGGCAACGACAAAGCUAGUGGUCCAAGGGAGGCCUAGGUGGGUUUCUUAGAAUUGUCUUUAUAGAAGCACUGCCACAAGGUGGCAUCAGAGAUCACACUGGGUAGUUACAUCGCCUUGACACAUAAGGAUGUGUGCACAGUCACUGCCUUCUGGUUUCCCUUCUUGGCAGCAACAACAAUUUCUGUGUCUUCCACAGAUACUCAGUGAAGAUGACAGGUAUGCUGUGCUCAUUUUUCAUAUGCAGAAUAAAGCUACUUUCAGAAUUAAGGGCCCAGGA